CGGCGGACGGGUGAGUAAUGCCUAGGAAUCUGCCUGGUAGUGGGGGACAACGUUUCGAAAGGAACGCUAAUACCGCAUACGUCCUACGGGAGAAAGCAGGGGACCUUCGGGCCUUGCGCUAUCAGAUGAGCCUAGGUCGGAUUAGCUAGUUGGUGAGGUAAUGGCUCACCAAGGCGACGAUCCGUAACUGGUCUGAGAGGAUGAUCAGUCACACUAGAACUGAGACACGGUCCAGACUCCUACGGGAGGCAGCAGGC
This 257-nucleotide ribosomal RNA is filed under the name uncultured Pseudomonas sp. RNAcentral describes it as "partial 16S ribosomal RNA". It matches the Rfam family "Bacterial small subunit ribosomal RNA", at positions 96 to 354 of the family's 1533-position model. Lineage: Bacteria; Pseudomonadati; Pseudomonadota; Gammaproteobacteria; Pseudomonadales; Pseudomonadaceae. The record is from RNAcentral.